Long non-coding RNA from Eriocheir sinensis (Chinese mitten crab), 2860 nucleotides. RefSeq lists it as uncharacterized. The transcript is spliced from 4 exons. Lineage: Eukaryota; Metazoa; Arthropoda; Malacostraca; Decapoda; Varunidae. The record is from RefSeq and is a predicted model, not a curated record.
CACUGAGUCGAGACGGUGACCCUUGAUCCGCCGUCCCGGGAGCCACAGGCAUUGAGUCGCGCUGGGCUGGCGGUGUAGUCCCCUUCCCUGCCCAACUCCACAUAGACGCUAUGAUCAAGGACUUGGUUUGGCCCAGAGGCGUGGUGGUGUCAGUUGGUGAGAAGGUGAAUGCCACGGGUGCGGCAGGGACCCAUGGGGAUCAGCGGCAGAAGGAUUGCACGUGGGCCAAGUAAGAGUUUCCGAUGGCCGCCGGGCAGCUACCCAACACCACCUUAGCAGCUGGAGGUCUGUGUGGGAUGUGGGGCUGAUACGGAAAGAGACUCCUCUAGGAACUGGAUCUUGUGAGAAGAGUGCUUUCAGCUCUGAGCCAAACAGAUAGUUAAAACAAAUGGGCGAGGCAUCUGGCACUACGGGCGUCGGCGGCGCGGCGCGGCCAGCAGCCUGCCCCACCUGUGCUGCCUGGGCGAGCGCGGGUUGGUCGGCCUGAGCGUCUCCAUUUGUUCCAUGUCAGCAGUGCUCCCCGCGCAGCAUAAUGCAGAGCGCCUGGAGAGAAUCACCUGCUGGCACAUCGGAGAACUGCAUGCUAAGACACAGCUCGCAAACGGUAACUCAUCUGACAAGAAAGAGGCUGACAGGAAGGCCCCGGGGACGGAAGAGGCACAACACAGGAGGGAGGAUGGGAUGGAAGCCAGGUAGCAACUCCCUCUACCAGGUGUGGCCCAGGGAAACGCACCCCCCCACCCCCCUCCUCGCCCUGCCUGCCACAGCUUACCUGAUGGCGAACACGCACGCUACGGUGGUCACAAUGCCCCUGCCUGAUGUCACUGAACAAACGUCUCUGAAGGGCCUGUCUGAAUUCUUGUGAAGAACCUCGUCAACUUUCAUGCCGCUUUGAUCUGUUAACUGUUCUCAUCAGACACUUGGCAUUUCCGUAAAGAGCAACGUAAGUACCUGACCGAGCAUCCAGCAUAAUGUCUAGUACACAGGCAUUUCAUAGUCCCACCUCCCGCAUUCACCGCGCUAUGGACAACCUCGGUUCGAAUCCGCCCGCUACCACCUGGGAUUUUUCAGUCACCGUCGAGUGGCCUAAGACUACCCACAUGCUGUCAUGAAGACCACCCAUCAACCCGGACUCUAGAAGAAACCGUCCAAGUGAAUCAAGAAUGAGUUCCGGGGGGCAGCAUGAGCCCAGCAUUAAUGGCGCCACUAUAAAAAUUGCUUGCGCCAUGACGGGCUUGGGCCAACCACCAGGCCCCUGAAGAAAGCCUAACAGUGCUACAGGCGAAAACGUAAAAAAACAAACAAACUAGUAAUGCCUUGUACGAUUUAGUUCACUGUCCAAGCGUCUUCUGUCGUACGCACACUAGUGACACGAAGGAAUUUUCUGUUCAACUAGAUUACAGUUUUCGCUCUUCUGUUUGCUAACCAUUGACUCCUCAAAAUUCACAAGAUUUCGGCCAUAAUGACACGCCCCAUCCCUGUGCCAUCACGGAAAAAAUAAAAAUCGUAGCUGGGGCUUUUCCAUUUUCUAUUACACCAUGACCCUCUCAGAUUUCCGAAACUAUGACCCAUUCUAAGUCAGGGAAGGAGUAUUAGUAACUGUUCUUGAUUCUCACACUCGCAAUGGUUGUCUCUCCACUUCUUUAUACUUCAGCGAAAUUUUCACUUCAAGAACUUGGCUUGACUCGUUUUUAAUCUUUGCCGAGAUAUUAAAUUAAGGGCAGGGAAACUUUUAAGUAUUCUUCACACCGAGGCACCAAAGACAGCCCGACCCGUAGCCAAAGGUCUCCGAGCUGACACUGGCGGGAGCCUCCAACACGGCACGGCUUCAUGUGUCAGCCAAAGGGGGAGGAUGAGCGCAGCUUCCUGUUUUGCCGGAAGCUAUGCAACAGCCACAACAACUACGCACCGAAGAUCGUGACUUUUCUCACUAAACUCAUUAUCUGAAGGUUUCCUAGAUAUUGCAUUUAUGAAUUUAUGACACUCCUCCCAGGGUUCAGGGUAGUUCCAUAACUUCAAGGUUCAAACUGCACCAAAUUACAAAUUUCUGUAUCGCUUUCACUAAGUCUUGUCUUCCUGAUUAUCGUCAGGAAUAACUCAGAACACGACCACACGAGGGCUUAAAAAGUAUUUAAAAUAACGAUUCGCAGUAAUUGUGUAACGCUGCAGAGGCGGAUGGUCUUCCGGUAACGAAAUUUGCCUUUGCGGUGAAUACGGCAACACAACAUGGCCUUUCACCACACACACACACACACACACACACACGAAAAAUAAUCCAGAUAAGUUUUAUGGUCCUCUCGAGUCGAUUAUGGUAUCAAACCAGCAUCAGAACUCCAGAGAGUGAACAGUUCGGAACAGUCAUACUCAUAUGGUAGCUUGUUCCAUUAAGUGGUACUGUCUGCAGCUUCCUGUUGGACCUAAAACUCUAAGGUAUCGAAGCUUCACAUUAACUUCUCAACUCACCAACACCUUUCAGUGAGAUUUUGACCCAUAAGUCUGCAUUCGCUAGUUGACUCGCAUAAUAACUUCCAAAAAAACUUUAAUGUUUCGAAUUCACUACUUGUUUCAUAAAGAAUUUUCUCUCACUUGUUACUUAGCUCACUUAAAACUCACAAAGUAAUACUUGUCAUAAGGUGCCGGUUUCCCAUUCACUACUUGCUUCAUGAGUAACCUUCUAUGUCAAAGCACCACAUCAGCUCCUUUAUAGCUCCCUAGAAAAGCCAGAGCCGAGAACAUCCUGCUGUCGUGAUGGGAAAGCCUGGAAGCAGGGCUCAAGAAGGGCGGGAGAGGAGCUCGGCGGGUCAGGCCUGUGUUGUGUCGGGCCCGUCAAGAGUCACAUUAGCUGUGGGAUCCUAUUAAC